Molecule: small nucleolar RNA, 178 nt
Organism: Exaiptasia diaphana
Lineage: Eukaryota; Metazoa; Cnidaria; Anthozoa; Actiniaria; Aiptasiidae
Product: small nucleolar RNA SNORA81
Exons: 1
Source: RefSeq, a predicted model, not a curated record
ACCUUCUCAAAAAAGCACCACAUUCUGUAACUGAUGCCUCAGCUUUAAAGCUGUGGUCAAGUCAUGGGAAUGUUGGCCGUCACGAGAAGGAGAAUUACGCAGUUUUAGUGGGUGAGACCAAAGAGAACCUCUUUUCUAAUGUUCAAUGUUUUGACUCUCAAUACUAACUGCGACAACU